RNAcentral lists this ribosomal RNA (497 nucleotides) under uncultured bacterium. RNAcentral describes it as "partial 16S ribosomal RNA". It matches the Rfam family "Bacterial small subunit ribosomal RNA", at positions 28 to 507 of the family's 1533-position model. The record is from RNAcentral.
GAUGAACGCUGGCGGCGUGCCUAAUACAUGCAAGUCGAGCGAACAGACGAGGAGCUUGCUCCUCUGACGUUAGCGGCGGACGGGCGAGUAACACGUGGAUAACCUACUUAUAAGACUGGGAUAACUACGGGAAACCGGAGCUAAUACCGCAUAAUAUAUUGAACCGCAUGGAGCAAUAGUGAAAGACGGUUUUGCCGUCACUUAUAGAUGGAUCCGCGCCGCAUUAGCUAGUUGGUAAGGUAACGGCUUACCAAGGCGACGAUGCGUAGCCGACCUGAGAGGGUGAUCAGCCACACUGGAACUGAGACACGGUCCAGACUCCUACGGGAGGCAGCAGUGGGGAAUCUUCGGCAAUGGGCGCAAGCCUGACGGAGCCACGCCGCGUGAGUGAUGAAGGUCUUCGGGUCGUAAAACUCUUUUAUUAGGAAAGAAAAACUGUGUGAUUAACUAUGCACGUCUUGACGGUACCUAAUCAAAAAGCCACGGCUAACUACGUG